AUUGAACGCUGGCGGCAGGCCUAACUCAUGCAAGUCGAGCGGAUGAAGGGAGCUUGCUCCUGGAUUCAGCGGCGGACGGGUGAGUAAUGCCUAGGAAUCUGCCUGGUAGUGGGGGAUAACGUCCGGAAACGGGCGCUAAUACCGCAUACGUCCUGAGGGAGAAGGUGGGGGAUCUUCGGACCUCACGCUAUCAGAUGAGCCUAGGUCGGAUUAGCUAGUUGGUGGGGUAAAGGCCUACCAAGGCGACGAUCCGUAACUGGUCUGAGAGGAUGAUCAGUCACACUGGAACCGAGACACGGUCCAGACUCCUACGGGAGGCAGCAGUGGGGAAUAUUGGACAAUGGGCGAAAGCCUGAUCCAGCCAUGCCGCGUGUGUGAAGAAGGUCUUCGGAUUGUAAAGCACUUUAAGUUGGGAGGAAGGGCAGUAAGUUAAUACCUUGCUGUUUUGACGUUACCAACAGAAUAAGCACCGGCUAACUUCGUG
RNAcentral lists this ribosomal RNA (484 nucleotides) under uncultured bacterium. RNAcentral describes it as "partial 16S ribosomal RNA". It matches the Rfam family "Bacterial small subunit ribosomal RNA", at positions 30 to 507 of the family's 1533-position model. The record is from RNAcentral.